RNAcentral lists this ribosomal RNA (484 nucleotides) under uncultured bacterium. RNAcentral describes it as "partial 16S ribosomal RNA". It matches the Rfam family "Bacterial small subunit ribosomal RNA", at positions 30 to 507 of the family's 1533-position model. The record is from RNAcentral.
AUUGAACGCUGGCGGCAGGCCUAACACAUGCAAGUCGAGCGGAUGAGGGGAGCUUGCUCCUGGAUUCAGCGGCGGACGGGUGAGUAAUGCCUAGGAAUCUGCCUGGUAGUGGGGGAUAACGUCCGGAAACGGGCGCUAAUACCGCAUACGUCCUGAGGGAGAAAGUGGGGGAUCUUCGGACCGCACGCUAUCAGAUGAGCCUAGGUCGGAUUAGCUAGUUGGUGGGGUAAAGGCCUUCCAAGGCGACGAUCCGUAACUGGUCUGAGAGGAUGAUAAGUCACACUGGAACUGAGACACGGUCAAGACUCCUACGGGAGGGAGCAGUGGGGAAUAUUGGACAAUGGGCGAAAGCCUGAUACAGCCAUGCCGCGUGUGUGAAGAAGGUCUUCCGAUUGUAAAGCACUUUAAGUUGGGAGGAAGGGCAGUAAGUUAAUACCUUGCUGUUUUGACGUUACCAACAGAAUAAGCACCGGCUAACUUCGUG